GACGAACGCUGGCGGCGUGCUUAACACAUGCAAGUCGAACGAUGACCCGGGAGCUUGCUCCUGGUGAUUAGUGGCGAACGGGUGAGUAACACGUGGGCAACCUGCCCUUAGCUCUGGGAUAAGCCCGAGAAAUCGGGUCUAAUACCGGAUAUGACACGGGAUGGCAUCUUCUUCGUGUGGAAAGAUUUUUUGGCUAAGGAUGGGCCCGCGGCCUAUCAGCUUGUUGGUGGGGUAAUGGCCUACCAAGGCGACGACGGGUAACCGGCCUGAGAGGGCGACCGGUCACACUGGGACUGAGACACGGCCCAGACUCCUACGGGAGGCAGCAGUGGGGAAUAUUGCACAAUGGGCGAAAGCCUGAUGCAGCGACGCCGCGUGAGGGAUGACGGCCUUCGGGUUGUAAACCUCUUUCAGCAGGGACGAAGCGAAAGUGACGGUACCUGCAGAAGAAGCACCGGCCAACUACGUGCCAGCCGCCGCGGUAACAC
Molecule: ribosomal RNA, 488 nt
Filed under: uncultured bacterium
Lineage: Bacteria
Description: bacterial SSU rRNA
Rfam family: Bacterial small subunit ribosomal RNA
Source: RNAcentral